AUGAGCUGGACUGUGCCUCUAGAGACUUUGGCACAAAAUAGGAUGUGUCAGAGGCAGAGCACAAUGCUAUUGGCAGUGAGGAGCACCUCAUUGGAUCCCUUAUUGCUGGGCAGCUUUGACCCAAGCUGUGCCUUGCUGCAGGAGGAAGGUUGGAGUCUACCAUCAGGAAUCAUGAAUUAUGUCAACUAUGCGGUUUGAUUGGUGUUUGUGUCAUAGCCAAAAUGGACAGAUAAGUAUAGCCUGGAUGAAGUGCAAUGAACGGAAUAUUAGAGCAACAAAUGUCCUAUUUUCAGCUGGCCUGUGUUUCUUCUCAUCACAUGAGGAGAAACUGUCGAAGUGAAAUAUAUUGACUCCAGCUAACAAAUUAGCAGGACAGGCUGUUGUUCCCUAAGCAUUCUAAAACUACAUGAAGACUUCUCACAAACCAAGCAAUGAAACCAGUUCAACAGAACUUUUGGUUUUUCUUCAACCCAUAUUUCUUUCUCUUUUGAUAAACUUCAUGAUUCAAAAGGUUGAAGGAAGUUUUAUUGUCAAAUUCAGUUAAGGAGCAUAGUGGUAGAUUGAGGGAAGACAUUGCUAAACCAGAGCAAGCUCAACAGAGGUCCCUGGUUAGGCUUAGUAAGGGUAUUUAACAAAUAACUGGCAUUCAUUUAUUUUUGAUAUAAGACUCAAUCGCAUGUAUUAUGUGCUCUUUGUUGACAAGCAACAGAGAAGCAAACGUGUAAUUUCAAGAGGAAACCAUCAGAAAUAUAAACAUAUAUGAGACCAGAAUUCUUUCUUGAAGGAUUCAUCAGAAAGCCUGGUACGAAUUUGAUGCCUCACCUUGCAAUGCAUUACAGUCUGCUUAAUUAAGCCAUUAGCUACAAGCAGCAAAUAAAUAAAAUUGGAAUGGUAGGUGCAAAGAAACACAUAGGUUCACCAGUCUGGUUCCAAAGGUAAUGCUGUGCCUGUACAAAUGUCAAAUAUAUAGUUAAGAUAAUUUGUAUUAGUGACGACAGCACAAAUUUUACAGGAACUGGAAACUUUGUUCUACAUAGGUUAUCUUUCUGUAAAGAUCAGGUAGUCAUAAAAAUAUUGGAUAAGAAAUCAGACAUAACUUGGACCAUGACUGUUAAACUAUAUUUCAUAAUCACCUAUUGUUUGGACAGACUGGCCUUGGAAGCCUCACCCUUUCACAGGUGUAGAAGUAUAAAUUCUGAUGCUCUGUGUUAUUGGCACCUCUUGGCAAGAUGGGUACCAACAAGAUCUUGCUUUUCCUCUUAAGUACAGCUCUUCUGGAUGCCACCACAGGUAAACCACUUAAAAUUUUUAAAACCAGUAUUUAAAAAAAAAAAGAAGAAAAAAGGGGAUGUCUUACGCUUCUGCAGUGGUUCCAUACAUGUAACUCAUGUGCUAAUAUUAUCAACUUUGUGCAAAGAUUGGAUGUAAAAUGGGCUACAAUUUGAUAGCAUCAUGUUGUCUUAUUAAAAAUAUGAUCCAUCCAACAUUGUGAUUAAUUAUUAUUUAUAUUUAAGUAAAUUUAUUACAAUGAAACCAAUAUCGUUCCAACUUUUAUAGUAGUGUCCUGUAGCAUAGAUUAAAACAAAUUUAGAAAAAAAUAAACUACCUUGAAAGUACUAAUAAAAGAUUUCGCAUAAAUCUGUGUUCUUCAAUCUGAAAUCAAGAAGAAAUGUCAUUGGCUAUAAUGUAUACUUGCUUUAAAAUAAUUCAAGGUUAACCUUCUAGAUGCUUAUGGAUUCACCCAAUACUUAUUUAACUUUAUAUAACUUAAUCGAAGCACAAUAGUAAGACACAGUUGCUAUCAUGCAUGGCAUCAUGUAGUACCAGGGACAUGAAUUUUCCUCCCAGUUAUGCCACUGAGAUGGUCGUGCACACAGAUGGAAAACCUGGAGACUGUAAAAACCCAGCCUUGCACAUUUGCACAACCAAAUCAUAACAGUGAUAGUGUUCAGGUAGGUUGUGCUUUCUCAGAAACCAACAUUUAGUAUCACCAAGGACUUUCUAAAUACUAUUGAUAUUUCACAAGGGUGAUAUCUUGGACUUGCCAUUCUCAG
Molecule: long non-coding RNA, 2054 nt
Filed under: Anas zonorhyncha (Eastern spot-billed duck)
Lineage: Eukaryota; Metazoa; Chordata; Aves; Anseriformes; Anatidae
Description: lncRNA (ENSAZOG00000011628.1)
Source: RNAcentral